This 812-nucleotide ribosomal RNA is filed under the name uncultured bacterium. RNAcentral's name for it is "bacterial SSU rRNA". It matches the Rfam family "Bacterial small subunit ribosomal RNA", at positions 51 to 871 of the family's 1533-position model. The record is from RNAcentral.
ACACAUGCAAGUCGAGGGGUAUAGUAGCAAUACUAGAGACCGGCGCACGGGUGCGUAACGCGUAUGCAAUCUACCUUUUGCAGAGGGAUAGCCCAGAGAAAUUUGGAUUAAUACCUCAUAGUAUAACGACUCGGCAUCGAGAUGUUAUUAAAGUCACAACGGCAAAAGAUGAGCAUGCGUCCCAUUAGUUAGUUGGUAAGGUAACGGCUUACCAAGACUACGAUGGGUAGGGGUCCUGAGAGGGAGAUCCCCCACACUGGUACUGAGACACGGACCAGACUCCUACGGGAGGCAGCAGUGAGGAAUAUUGGACAAUGGGCGCAAGCCUGAUCCAGCCAUGCCGCGUGCAGGAUGACGGUCCUAUGGAUUGUAAACUGCUUUUGCACAGGAAGAAACAACGCUACGUGUAGCGUCUUGACGGUACUGUGAGAAUAAGGAUCGGCUAACUCCGUGCCAGCAGCCGCGGUAAUACGGAGGAUCCAAGCGUUAUCCGGAAUCAUUGGGUUUAAAGGGUCCGUAGGCGGUCUUAUAAGUCAGUGGUGAAAUCUCCCCGCUCAACGGGGAAACGGCCAUUGAUACUGUAGGACUUGAAUUAUUAGGAAGUAACUAGAAUAUGUAGUGUAGCGGUGAAAUGCUUAGAGAUUACAUGGAAUACCAAUUGCGAAGGCAGGUUACUACUAAUGGAUUGACGCUGAUGGACGAAAGCGUGGGUAGCGAACAGGAUUAGAUACCCUGGUAGUCCACGCCGUAAACGAUGGAUACUAGCUGUUGGGCGCAAGUUCAGUGGCUAAGCGAAAGUGAUAAGUAUCCCA